Molecule: ribosomal RNA, 497 nt
Filed under: uncultured bacterium
Lineage: Bacteria
Description: partial 16S ribosomal RNA
Rfam family: Bacterial small subunit ribosomal RNA
Source: RNAcentral
GAUGAACGCUGGCAGCGUGCCUAAUACAUGCAAGUCGAGCGAACAGACGAGGAGCUUGCUCCUCUGACGUUAGCGGCGGACGGGUGAGUAACACGUGGAUAACCUACCUAUAAGACUGGGAUAACUUCGGGAAACCGGAGCUAAUACCGGAUAAUAUAUUGAACCGCAUGGUUCAAUAGUGAAAGACGGUUUUGCUGUCACUUAUAGAUGGAUCCGCGCCGCAUUAGCUAGUUGGUAAGGUAACGGCUUACCAAGGCAACGAUGCGUAGCCGACCUGAGAGGGUGAUCGGCCACACUGGAACUGGGACACGGUCCAGACUCCUACGGGAGGCAGCAGUAGGGAAUCUUCCGCAAUGGGCGAAAGCCUGACGGAGCAACGCCGCGUGAGUGAUGAAGGUCUUCGGAUCGUAAAACUCUGUUAUUAGGGAAGAACAAAUGUGUAAGUAACUAUGCACGUCUUGACGGUACCUAAUCAGAAAGCCACGGCUAACUACGUG